UACAUAAUGGUGUAAGUGCACAUAAACUUUUGGAAUUAAGGGGAAAAUUCAUAUUUUCUUUUGUAU
Molecule: transfer RNA, 66 nt
Filed under: Sepiadariidae sp. GS-2020
Lineage: Eukaryota; Metazoa; Mollusca; Cephalopoda; Sepiida; Sepiadariidae
Description: tRNA-Gln
Source: RNAcentral